GUAAUUGUUCUUGUCGAAGUAUCGAUGGCUGAUCAAUACGUUCAUACAUCCCAGCCUGAUGUUGAUUACUAAAACUAACAGAAUCAGCAUAUCGUACAGCUGGAUCACUUUGCAUGUCCCUCCCAAUAUAAGCGCUCUGUCGUUCACCAUAUUGACGCCUAUCAAUCACUGGAUAGUCAUGANNNNNNNNNNAUAAUUGAUCACUUUUGUGGCCAUAUCCAUGAGUAGAUGAUGGAACAUAGUCACCAGAUGUAAAUUUUGGAGAAUCAGAGAGACCUGAGGGAUAGCCACC
This 292-nucleotide unclassified non-coding RNA is filed under the name Hevea brasiliensis (rubber tree). Lineage: Eukaryota; Viridiplantae; Streptophyta; Magnoliopsida; Malpighiales; Euphorbiaceae. The record is from RNAcentral.